RNAcentral lists this non-coding RNA (341 nucleotides) under Symbiodinium sp. CCMP2430. Lineage: Eukaryota; Dinophyceae; Suessiales; Symbiodiniaceae. The record is from RNAcentral.
AAAAAUGAAGAAAAAGAACGAAACAAAUAAAGAAGUGUAGUGUAAUGUGAGAAAUGGAAUGAUGAAAAAGAGAAGUGAAACGAACCAUUUCUCACAUUAAUUCACUUCUUUCUUCUCUUUCUAUUCUUCAUUCAUUUGUAAUAAAAUAUGAUGAAAGAAAAGAAGUGUAAAGAAGUGAAUGAAUCCUGUUUCGUUUCUUCUUUGUGUUUAAUUCGUGCUUCCAUUCCAUUACAUUACAAUUAAACACAAAGAGGAAACAGGAUUCAUCAUUCACUUCCUUCUUCUUUCUCUUUCCUUUCCCUUUCUUUUCUCUUUUCGCUCGUUUAUAAUGUAAUGAAGUG